This 396-nucleotide ribosomal RNA is filed under the name uncultured bacterium. Its description in RNAcentral is "partial 16S ribosomal RNA". It matches the Rfam family "Bacterial small subunit ribosomal RNA", at positions 338 to 732 of the family's 1533-position model. The record is from RNAcentral.
CCUACGGGUGGCAGCAGUGAGGAAUAUUGGUCAAUGGCCGGAAGGCUGAACCAGCCAAGCCGCGUGAAGGACGAAGGUGCCAAGCAUUGUAAACUUCUUUUGUCAAGGGACAAAAUCAGGCUCGAGAGCCUGACCGAGGGUACUUGAAGAAAAAGCAUCGGCUAACUCCGUGCCAGCAGCCGCGGUAAUACGGAGGAUGCGAGCGUUAUCGGGAUUUAUGGGGUUAAAAGGGUGCGUAGGCGGACUGUUAAGUCAGAGGUAAAAGCCCGGGGCUAAACCCCGGCGAGCCGUUGAAACUGGGUGUCUGGAGAGGACGAGAGGUAUGCGGAAUGCGCAGUGUAGCGGUGAAAUGCUUAGAUAUUGGGCAGAACACCGAUUGCGAAGGCAGCAUACCGG